Molecule: ribosomal RNA, 443 nt
Filed under: Clostridioides difficile
Lineage: Bacteria; Bacillati; Bacillota; Clostridia; Peptostreptococcales; Peptostreptococcaceae
Description: bacterial LSU rRNA
Rfam family: Bacterial large subunit ribosomal RNA
Source: RNAcentral
GGGAUGACACAGUAGGAUAAGCUAAGCACACUGUUGGUUAUGUGUGCCCAAGCAUUGAGGCAGUCAAAGUAGGUAAAUCCGCUUUGAUAAUGCUGGGAUGUGAUGGGGAGCGAAAUUUAGUAGCGAAGUAGCUGAUUUCACACUGUCAAGAAAAGUCUCUAUCGAGGUUAAAGGUACCCGUACCGCAAACCGACACAGGGGGGUGAGGAGAGUAUCCUAAGGCCAGCGAGAGAACUGUUGUUAAGGAACUCGGCAAAAUGACCCCGUAACUUAGGGAUAAGGGGUGCCACCAUCAGGUGGCCGCAGAGAAUAGGCCCAAGCGACUGUUUACCAAAAACAUAGGUUUCUGCUAAGUCGCAAGACGAUGUAUAGGAGCUGACGCCUGCCCGGUGCUGGAAGGUUAAGGGGAUCUGUUAGAGCAAUCGAAGCAGUGAACUUAAGCC